Molecule: long non-coding RNA, 1179 nt
Filed under: Gossypium barbadense (sea-island cotton)
Lineage: Eukaryota; Viridiplantae; Streptophyta; Magnoliopsida; Malvales; Malvaceae
Description: long non-coding RNA (GBAR_LNC017580)
Source: RNAcentral
UUAGGAUUUAUUCUCGUAGUAUUCUUUAAUUGAAUAAAGAGUACAACAAACAAAUAGUACGCCUCAGAAUUUUAGUGAAGUAGGAUGCGCCUACAAGAUAUAUGUUAAUGUUGUAAGGGGAAAAAGUGUCUUUAAGGUUACGCCAUAUGAGUUAUCGCUAUAGGUGUGAUAUGCUAGGUGUGCUCGAACGAUAUGCGAAAUAGAUUUUGUAACGCUAUUGGUUGGGAGACACUUGAAUAGAUUGACUAGUCAAAUAGCAUCAACAUUGGAUUUUCUUUUAUAUUUUCUCCAAUUUUUGUAGGACAUUAUAGAUACAAUUUUUGUAUGCAUUUGACACUUGUAUAUAUAUGGUAAGAAGGGAAUUUUUAGAUGGUUUUUCUUCCUUCUAUUCUAUGCUUAAGUUUUUCUUAAGAUUAAAUAUUCACUUCUUCUUCGUUAAACUAGAAGCUAAGGUUUCUGGGGUUAUCAGUGGAUGUUUCAACCCUCUAGUAAGUUUGGUAUCUUUGCAUGUUAGGUUUUUGAAAGAGUAAAAAUGUUAUGAAGCAUAAACAAUAAGAUAUGAAUAAGAGACCUUGCACGGGGGUCAUAUGUAAAUGAGAUGAUAGCAAAUUAUCUAUAAAUGAGUUUUUAAUAGUGAAUCCAUGUUCUUUUAAGUAGUUAUUGCUGCUUGUUCGGAAAGGGCGAUCAAGUUUGGAACUCCGAGCUUCAGUAAGGUGAGUUUCAAGUAAGUCCUUAUCUUGACUCAUGCAUGUUAAGUUUACAAUGAAAAGACUUAUAUUGAUGUCAUCUCAAAUGUUUGGUAAGUGUGUAAGAAAUAUCAUCUAGUUACGGCAUGUUACAAAUAAAACAUAUAAGUUACAAUGGAAAGAUUUAUGUAGAUGUCAUCUCAAAUUAUCUAGGCUCGAGCCCAACAAGACCUAACUCACCGAAAUGGUUUUGUUUCAUUAUUUUUAAAAUAAAUUUUUUUUAUAAAGUAUUAAUAUAGACUUAUUUACUUUAUAGUUUUUAAUUAUUGAAUAGUAAAUUGGAUCGGUGGAUGAACUCCACUACUCAUCACUCACCCUGAGCUAUCAAGCACUAAACUCGUCAUUCAAACCUUUCACUCCACACCCCAAACAAGUCUGACCAUCACACUUCAAUCUCCCCAUUUAUUUAUUAUCAAAACCAAAUACUUCAAAC